CCUACGGGAGGCGGCAGUGGGGAAUCUUGCGCAAUGGGCGAAAGCCUGACGCAGCCAUGCCGCGUGAAUGAUGAAGGUCUUAGGAUUGUAAAAUUCUUUCAGUAGGGACGAUAAUGACGGUACCUACAGAAGAAGCCCCGGCUAACUUCGUGCCAGCAGCCGCGGUAAUACGAAGGGGGCUAGCGUUGCUCGGAAUUACUGGGCGUAAAGGGAGCGUAGGCGGGUUAUCAAGUUGGAGGUGAAAGCCCAGGGCUCAACCUCGGAAUUGCCUUCAAAACUGAUAGCCUAGAGUAUGAUAGAGGUAUGUGGAACUCCGAGUGUAGAGGUGAAAUUCGUAGAUAUUCGGAAGAACACCAGUGGCGAAGGCGACAUACUGGGUCAUGACUGACGCUGAGGCUCGAAAGCGUGGGGAGCAAACAGGAUUAGAUACCCUGGUAGUCCACGCUGUAAACGAUGAUUGCUAGUUGUCGGACGGCAUGCCGUUCGGUGACGCAGCUACGCAUAAGUACACUCCGCCGUCGGGAGGUACGGUCGCGAGAUAAACUACAAGAAGUAGACGCGNGAGACGUGCGACGGACGACGACGAGGGAGGAGG
RNAcentral lists this ribosomal RNA (595 nucleotides) under uncultured bacterium. RNAcentral's name for it is "bacterial SSU rRNA". The stretch from base 1 to 517 matches the Rfam family "Bacterial small subunit ribosomal RNA", at positions 338 to 873 of the family's 1533-position model. The record is from RNAcentral.